RNAcentral lists this ribosomal RNA (478 nucleotides) under uncultured bacterium. RNAcentral's name for it is "partial 16S ribosomal RNA". It matches the Rfam family "Bacterial small subunit ribosomal RNA", at positions 28 to 507 of the family's 1533-position model. The record is from RNAcentral.
GAUGAACGCUGGCGGCGUGCUUAACACAUGCAAGUCGAACGGGAAACCUUUUAUUGAAGCUUCGGCAGAUUUAGCUGGUUUCUAGUGGCGGACGGGUGAGUAACGCGUGGGUAACCUGCCUCAUACAGGGGGAUAACAACCAGAAAUGGUUGCUAAUACCGCAUAAGCGCACAGGACCGCAUGGUCCGGUGUGAAAAACUCCGGUGGUAUAAGAUGGACCCGCGUUGGAUUAGCUAGUUGGCAGGGUAACGGCCUACCAAGGCGACGAUCCAUAGCCGGCCUGAGAGGGUGAACGGCCACAUUGGGACUGAGACACGGCCCAGACUCCUACGGGAGGCAGCAGUGGGGAAUAUUGCACAAUGGGGGAAACCCUGAUGCAGCGACGCCGCGUGAAGGAAGAAGUAUCUCGGUAUGUAAACUUCUAUCAGCAGGGAAGAUAGUGACGGUACCUGACUAAGAAGCCCCGGCUAACUACGUG